UACGGAGGGUGCAAGCGUUAUCCGGAUUCACUGGGUUUAAAGGGUGCGUAGGUGGGUCUGUAAGUCCGUGGUGAAAUCUCCGAGCUUAACUUGGAAACUGCCAUGGAUACUAUAGAUCUUGAAUACUGUGGAGGUUAGCGGAAUAUGUCAUGUAGCGGUGAAAUGCUUAGAUAUGACAUGGAACACCAAUUGCGAAGGCAGCUGGCUACACAAAUAUUGACACUGAUGCACGAAAGCGUGGGGAUCAAACAGG
This 253-nucleotide ribosomal RNA is filed under the name uncultured bacterium. RNAcentral describes it as "partial 16S ribosomal RNA". It matches the Rfam family "Bacterial small subunit ribosomal RNA", at positions 524 to 776 of the family's 1533-position model. The record is from RNAcentral.